This 721-nucleotide ribosomal RNA is filed under the name Chryseobacterium sp. APG10. RNAcentral describes it as "bacterial SSU rRNA". It matches the Rfam family "Bacterial small subunit ribosomal RNA", at positions 352 to 1079 of the family's 1533-position model. The record is from RNAcentral. Lineage: Bacteria; Pseudomonadati; Bacteroidota; Flavobacteriia; Flavobacteriales; Weeksellaceae.
ACGGGAGGAAUAUUGGACAAUGGGUUAACGCCUGAUCCAGCCCCGCGUGAAGGACGACUGCCCUAUGGGUUGUAAACUUCUUUUAUACUAGAAUAACCCUGUUUACGUGUAAGCAGUUGAAGGUAUAGUAUGAAUAAGCACCGGCUAACUCCGUGCCAGCAGCCGCGGUAAUACGGAGGGUGCGAGCGUUAUCCGGAUUUAUUGGGUUUAAAGGGUCCGUAGGCGGGCUUGUAAGUCAGUGGUGAAAUCUCUCAGCUUAACUGAGAAACUGCCAUUGAUACUGCAAGUCUUGAGUAAAGUAGAAGUGGCUGGAAUAAGUAGUGUAGCGGUGAAAUGCAUAGAUAUUACUUAGAACACCAAUUGCGAAGGCAGGUCACUAUGUUUUAACUGACGCUGAUGGACGAAAGCGUGGGUAGCGAACAGGAUUAGAUACCCUGGUAGUCCACGCCGUAAACGAUGCUAACUCGUUUUUGGGCUUUAGGGUUCAGAGACUAAGCGAAAGUGAUAAGUUAGCCACCUGGGGAGUACGUUCGCAAGAAUGAAACUCAAAGGAAUUGACGGGGGCCCGCACAAGCGGUGGAGCAUGUGGUUUAAUUCGAUGAUACGCGAGGAACCUUACCAAGGCUUAAAUGGGAAUUGAYAGGUUUAGAGAUAGACUUUUCUUCGGACAAUUUUCAAGGUGCUGCAUGGUUGUCGUCAGCUCGUGCCGUGAGGUGUUAGG